Molecule: ribosomal RNA, 480 nt
Filed under: uncultured bacterium
Lineage: Bacteria
Description: SSU rRNA
Rfam family: Bacterial small subunit ribosomal RNA
Source: RNAcentral
AGGACGAACGCUGGCGGCGUGCUUAACACAUGCAAGUCACGGGGGCCCGCAAGGGUAACCGGCGAACGGGUGCGUAGCACGUGAGCAACCUGCCUAGAUGUGGGGGAUAGCCGGCCCAACGGCCGGGUAAUACCGCAUACGGUCACGAGGAGGAGUCUCCUUGUGAAGAAACCUCCGGGGCAUUUAGAGGGGCUCGCGGCCUAUCAGCUAGUUGGCGGGGUAAUGGCCCACCAAGGCUUCGACGGGUAGCUGGUCUGAGAGGAUGGCCAGCCACAUUGGGACUGAGAGACGGCCCAGACUCCUACGGGAGGCAGCAGUGGGGAAUCUUGCGCAAUGGCCGAAAGGCUGACGCAGCGACGCCGCGUGUGGGAGGACGCCCUUCGGGGUGUAAACCACUGUUGCCCGGGACGAACAUCCACUUUCGAGUGGACUGACGGUACCGGGUGAGGAAGCACCGGCUAACUCCGUGCCAGCAGCCGC